UUUGAUUUUUAUCUUCAUGUUCAUACUUCAGUAGUGUACUAUACAUAUGCUUGUAUUCUCUUACUAAAUUGAUGAUUCUACAUUCCGAACCAACCUCAACUCAACUCCCAUUCACCAAGAUAUUUCUUGGUGAAAGUCCUCAAGUUACCAUUACUUAUUUUUAACAGUAGGCUAAAUUUGUCAGUUGGGCAUUACCAAGUAUUGUAUCAAACCUUAUAUGUAAGAAGCCACAGGGUUACUUAAGUUUCUUCCAUCUGUCAAAAAUAGAAUAUGUUAUUUUUUAAGGUUCGUAUUUAUCUAUGUGAACUGCAAGUUCAUUGGUGGAAAAAUCGAUGGACGAGACAGAAAAAUGGCAUGUGUAAGGUACACAUGUUACAUAUGCCAUGCUCAAGUUAAAUCUGCGCCAAGUUUUUGGUUCUGGUAGUGUGCUUAUUGAUGCCUGAUGUCCUCAAUAUUGGAUGGUUCUUCUACACAAGUUCAAAGAAAGAAAGAGGCAAAUUUCUGUAAGUUUAUCUGAAUCUUUGUUAGCUAAGUAGUUUGUCAAGCUUUGAGUCUGUCAUCACGCACGAUCUCCUUUAUGCUCUGUCUUGUUGUUGAUGGAGACUAAACCGAUGUUGGAGUGCUCAAAUGCAGAUUGGUGUUUGCUCGAGUUGGAUUUCUCUUGCGGCAGGUUCAUAUUUACUUUCCUCGAUGCCUACUACAUGCCCAUCAAGGUAUGGUAAUACUUGUUGGAACAAGCACUCCGUUCUCUCCUAAAAGAACAUAUGUAAUCCAAUUUUUAAUGUUACAUGAAUGAAUCUCUGGAAAAAGUAGAUGUGUAAUUUGACUUGGUGCA
This is a long non-coding RNA of Lolium perenne, 835 nucleotides long. RefSeq lists it as uncharacterized. The record is from RefSeq and is a predicted model, not a curated record. Lineage: Eukaryota; Viridiplantae; Streptophyta; Magnoliopsida; Poales; Poaceae.